CACGUAGGGGACGAGCGUUGUUCGGAAUUACUGGGCGUAAAGGGCUCGUAGGCGGCCAACUAAGUCAGACGUGAAAUCCCUCGGCUUAACCGGGGAACUGCGUCCGAUACUGGAUGGCUUGGAUUUGGGAGAGGGAUGCGGAAUUCCAGGUGUAGCGGUGAAAUGCGUAGAUAUCUGGAGGAACACCGGUGGCGAAGGCGGCAUCCUGGACCAAUAUUGACGCUGAGGAGCGAAAGCCAGGGGAGCAAACGGG
This 253-nucleotide ribosomal RNA is filed under the name uncultured bacterium. Its description in RNAcentral is "partial 16S ribosomal RNA". It matches the Rfam family "Bacterial small subunit ribosomal RNA", at positions 524 to 776 of the family's 1533-position model. The record is from RNAcentral.